This 296-nucleotide ribosomal RNA is filed under the name uncultured bacterium. Its description in RNAcentral is "partial 16S ribosomal RNA". It matches the Rfam family "Bacterial small subunit ribosomal RNA", at positions 29 to 349 of the family's 1533-position model. The record is from RNAcentral.
AGCGAACGCUGGCGGCAGGCUUAACACAUGCAAGUCGAACGGGCGUCCUCGGGCGUCAGUGGCAGACGGGUGAGUAACACGUGGGAACGUACCCUUCGGUUCGGAACAACUCAGGGAAACUUGAGCUAAUACCGGAUACGCCCUUUUGGGGUAAAGGUUUACUGCCGAAGGAUCGGCCCGCGUCUGAUUAGCUAGUUGGUGAGGUAAUGGCUCACCAAGGCGACGAUCAGUAGCUGGUCNGAGAGGAUGAUCAGCCACACUGGGACUGAGACACGGCCCAGACUCCUACGGGAGGC